Molecule: transfer RNA, 68 nt
Filed under: Frullania muscicola
Lineage: Eukaryota; Viridiplantae; Streptophyta; Jungermanniopsida; Porellales; Frullaniaceae
Description: partial tRNA-Leu
Rfam family: tRNA
About the family: Transfer RNA (tRNA) molecules are approximately 80 nucleotides in length. Their secondary structure includes four short double-helical elements and three loops (D, anti-codon, and T loops).
Source: RNAcentral
GGGUAGCGCUACGGACUUAAAAUCCGUUGGCUUUAUAGACCAUGAGGGUUCAAGUCCCUCUACCCCCA